UACGUAGGGUGCAAGCGUUAAUCGGAAUUACUGGGCGUAAAGCGUGCGCAGGCGGUUAUGUAAGACAGAUGUGAAAUGCCCGGGCUUAACCUGGGAACUGCAUUUGUGACUGCAUGGCUAGAGUUUGGCAGAGGGGGGUAGAAUUCCACGUGUAGCAGUGAAAUGCGUAGAUAUCGGGAGGAACACCAGUGGCGAAGGCGACUUCCUGGCCUGUUCUUGACGCUGAGGCGCGAAAGCUAGGGUAGCAAACGGG
Molecule: ribosomal RNA, 253 nt
Filed under: uncultured bacterium
Lineage: Bacteria
Description: partial 16S ribosomal RNA
Rfam family: Bacterial small subunit ribosomal RNA
Source: RNAcentral